GAUGAACGCUGGCGGCGUGCCUAAUACAUGCAAGUCGAGCGAACGGACGAGAAGCUUGCUCCUCUGAUGUUAGCGGCGGACGGGUGAGUAACACGUGGAUAACCUACCUAUAAGACUGGGAUAACUUCGGGAAACCGGAGCUAAUACCGGAUAAUAUUUUGAACCGCAUGGUUCAAUAGUGAAAGACGGCCUUGCUGUCACUUAUAGAUGGAUCUGCGCUGCAUUAGCUAGUUGGUAAGGUAACGGCUUACCAAGGCAACGAUGCAUAGCCGACCUGAGAGGGUGAUCGGCCACACUGGAACUUAGACACGGUCCAGACUCCUACGGGAGGCAGCAGUAGGGAAUCUUCCGCAAUGGGCGAAAGCCUGACGGAGCAACGCCGCGUGAGUGAUGAAGGUCUUCGGAUCGUAAAACUCUGUUAUUAGGGAAGAACAUAUGUGUAAGUAACUGUGCACUUCUUGACGGUACCUAAUCAGAAAGCCACGGCUAACUACGUG
This 497-nucleotide ribosomal RNA is filed under the name uncultured bacterium. Its description in RNAcentral is "partial 16S ribosomal RNA". It matches the Rfam family "Bacterial small subunit ribosomal RNA", at positions 28 to 507 of the family's 1533-position model. The record is from RNAcentral.